Long non-coding RNA from Mus musculus (house mouse), 617 nucleotides. RefSeq annotates it as predicted gene, 35062. The record is from RefSeq and is a predicted model, not a curated record. Lineage: Eukaryota; Metazoa; Chordata; Mammalia; Rodentia; Muridae. The transcript is spliced from 3 exons.
UCCCUCCGUGAUCCACAGAUCUCACUACUGCCUUAAAACUUCACUACUAUUUCUUCUUUCUUUCUUUUUCUGUGUGUACACAUGUACGCUGUGUGACGGUGUGUUUGCGCGUGCCUAUGUGAACAUACGUGUGAGAGGGUGCACGUGCAUGUGGGCACACGCUGGCGUGGACGUGGACGUGGACGUGGAGGCCUGAUGCCGUCAGGAGCCAUCCUUGACUGUUCCUCCUCCCUUAUUCAAGGGAGCGAGGGCACUCAGUCAAACUCAUGGCCAGUCUCAAGCCGGCUUACUCUGAGAAUCCUGUUUCUGCUUUACCUAGCCUCCACUCGGCACUUAAACGGGUUCUGGGGGUCCAGCUCAUCUUCACACUUGCGAGUAAAUCGUGAAGAUGAAACUCUCCCCAUUCAUGCCUGGAGCGCUGGCCAAUUGCAACUGCGGAAUGCGCAUUCAGGACCUCUCACGAAUGCGGUUCCCUUCUCGCGAACCCAGCCCGCCCAGCCUGCCGCCUGUUCUUUCCCCAACGAAAUCAACAAGACCGCAGCGGAAAGGUUUCAUGGUCAAGAAGGCUGACCUAGUCUCCUAAUGAAUGGUUUCUCUGUGUAGCCUUGGCUGUCCUG